Molecule: unclassified non-coding RNA, 160 nt
Organism: Chelonoidis abingdonii (Abingdon island giant tortoise)
Lineage: Eukaryota; Metazoa; Chordata; Testudines; Testudinidae
Source: Ensembl
GCAGCAGCCUUGGAGAAUGAAGUCCUUUGCUUAUCCACAGAACAGGUACAGUGCAAACUGCCACAGUGCAUGCUUGUGUGUCUCCCCUCUAAACUGGAAGAGUCAGCUACAAGAGUCAGAGAGUCUCCAUUCUUUGUAACCCAUUCACUCUUUGGCCAUU